GCGACACCGGCCGCGCUGCUCUCUGAUUGGCCGUAGGCAUCCCGGAGGCGGGGCUAGGACUGGGUACCCGACUGUUCCCGUUACUGUCGCUAUACCUACAAAACCCAAGACCGGUCUUCAAAGUGUGAACUCUAUAAAGGGCCGCAAGGGGGCACUCGAGCGGAAAAGAUAAGAGUGAGACCAGUGGAAUAUACGUGCCGAGGAAGUGACUUUUACCGGUCCGGCCCUGUUCGCGCUGUGCUCGCAGGUUACUGCCGUGUCUGAUUUUUACCGUAGCGGCAAAUGUUUAGUUUUACCAGGGCCCGCAGUUGACUGAGGGCAAGCUGGUGUUGAGUUUUUCGUGGGAGUUGGAGCCCUCUAACCUCAGCGAGGGUACCCGCUGAUAUGAGGCAUCGCCGCUUUGCCCUGCA
This is a long non-coding RNA of Syngnathoides biaculeatus (alligator pipefish), 410 nucleotides long. RefSeq lists it as uncharacterized. The transcript is spliced from 3 exons. Lineage: Eukaryota; Metazoa; Chordata; Actinopteri; Syngnathiformes; Syngnathidae. The record is from RefSeq and is a predicted model, not a curated record.